AACGAACGCUGGCGGCAGGCCUAACACAUGCAAGUCGAACGAUGUAGCAAUACAUAGUGGCGCACGGGUGAGUAACACGUGGGAACGUGCCUUUUGGUACGGAAUAGCUUCGGGAAACUGGAAUUAAUACCGUAUAAGCCCUGAGGGGGAAAGAUUUAUCGCCAAAAGAUCGGCCCGCGUCAGAUUAGCUAGUUGGUGGGGUAAUGGCCUACCAAGGCUCCGAUCUGUAGCUGUUCUGAGAGGAAGAUCAGCCACACUGGAACUGAGACACGGUCCA
Molecule: ribosomal RNA, 277 nt
Filed under: uncultured bacterium
Lineage: Bacteria
Description: partial 16S ribosomal RNA
Rfam family: Bacterial small subunit ribosomal RNA
Source: RNAcentral